UCCUGGCUCAGGAUGAACGCUAGCGACAGGCCUAACACAUGUAAGUCGAGGGGCAGCGCGGGAAAGCUUGCUUUCCUGGCGGCGACCGGCGCACGGGUGCGUAACAGGUGUGCAAUCUGUCCAUAGUCGGGGGAUAGCCCAGCGAAAGCUGAAUUAAUACUCCAUGUGAAUCGAAGCCGCAUGACUUUGAUUUGAAACGCAAGGACUAUGGGUGAGCACGCUUCUGAUUAGAUAGUUGGUGGGGUAACGGCUCACCAAGUCGACGAUCAGUAGGGGUUCUGAGAGGAAGGUCCCCCCACAUUGGAACUGAGACACGGUCCAAACUCCUACGGGAGGCAGCAGUGAGGAAUAUUGGUCAAUGGGCGAGAGCCUGAACCAGCCAAGUCGCGUGAAGGAUGAAGGUUCUAUGGAUUGUAAACUUCUUUUGUCCGAGGGUAAAAAAGGCCACGUGUGGCUUCUUGCAAGUAUCGGACGAAUAAGCAUCGGCUAACUCCGUGCCAGCCGCAGC
RNAcentral lists this ribosomal RNA (508 nucleotides) under uncultured bacterium. RNAcentral describes it as "bacterial SSU rRNA". It matches the Rfam family "Bacterial small subunit ribosomal RNA", at positions 17 to 518 of the family's 1533-position model. The record is from RNAcentral.